Molecule: ribosomal RNA, 301 nt
Filed under: uncultured bacterium
Lineage: Bacteria
Description: partial 16S ribosomal RNA
Rfam family: Bacterial small subunit ribosomal RNA
Source: RNAcentral
CAGUCGCCGCGGGAAUACGAAGGGUGCAAGCGUUAAUCGGAAUUACUGGGCGUAAAGCGUGCGUAGGCGGAGAGUUAAGUCUGCUGUGAAAUCCCCGGGCUCAACCUGGGAAUGGCAGUGGAUACUGGCUCGCUAGAGUGUGUCAGAGGAUGGUGGAAUUCCCGGUGUAGCGGUGAAAUGCGUAGAGAUCGGGAGGAACAUCAGUGGCGAAGGCGGCCAUCUGGGACAACACUGACGCUGAGGCACGAAAGCGUGGGGAGCAAACAGGAUUAGAUACCCGCGUAGUCCCUGUCUCUUAUAC